UAACGGCGAGUGAAAAGGGAAGAGCCCAGCGCUGAAUCGCUCAGUCUAAGGCUGUUGCGAGUUGUAGCGUAUAGGUGUAGCUUUGUUGUCAUUCCGCUUGAUCGAAUUCCCUUUGAAUAGGGACUUGCCAAAGAGGGUGCUAGACCCGUUCGAUCUGCGUUGUGGCGGCAUUGGUUGCUCCUUGGAGUCGGGUUGCUUGAAAGUGCAGCCUAAAGUGGGUGAUAAACUUCAUCUAAGGCUAAAUAUUGAAGGGAAUUCGAUAGCAAACAAGUACCGUGAGGGAAAGUUGCAAAGAACUUUGAAGAGAGAGUUCAAGAGAACGUGAAAUCGUUAAAGUGGAACCGGAGAGAGUUGACGAAGCUUGUGUGGUGAUGACUUUCGUGAUUGCUUUUAGUGAUUUCGUUUGUUGGAUCUGCUUUGGCUGCGUUGGCAGGGUUGUUGGUGUCUGUUGAAGCGUGUAGUGUUGCCCACUUCGGUGGUGUCUUGCUUGCGUGGAAACUGAUUGCUGGCAACUUCUAUGCC
This 522-nucleotide ribosomal RNA is filed under the name Phasmarhabditis sp. KEN1. RNAcentral's name for it is "partial large subunit ribosomal RNA". It matches the Rfam family "Eukaryotic large subunit ribosomal RNA", at positions 84 to 606 of the family's 3401-position model. Lineage: Eukaryota; Metazoa; Nematoda; Chromadorea; Rhabditida; Rhabditidae. The record is from RNAcentral.